Molecule: long non-coding RNA, 1876 nt
Organism: Bombyx mori (domestic silkworm)
Lineage: Eukaryota; Metazoa; Arthropoda; Insecta; Lepidoptera; Bombycidae
Exons: 3
Source: RefSeq, a predicted model, not a curated record
AAUAUAUUAUAUUAUAGUAUUGCCACACUACACAGAAGAACACGCGCCCUAAAUAAUGAAAAGUGUGUGGAAAAGCCCUUUUGAAACUGGACAUGCCGUAGGGCUGCAGAAAUACCAUAGAAGUUUCAGAAGUGCAGCGUGUGUGGAAGAGAUUACUACGAAUCUACCACCGGAUCGGAAUCCCGACCCACUGAGAAGAUCCGGCGAAAAACUCAAUGGGCUGAUGACACGUCCUUCAUCAAACGAAGCUCGUGGGGACUACGCGAAGGUAGGCUGUGCACUUGCCAUUGUUAAUGACCACAAGUGACGGUAACUAUGUGGGCGCUUUACUCGUCUGUCUAAAAAGGCAAUAAAAAUAUAAAUAUGUGUUAAUUCCAUUACAGAUUUUUUUUCACUCUCUUUGAGAACCACUGAAAUAUUUACGUUAACUACUGAAAAAGCUAUGACGUAAUUCGAAUGAUCAUUGCAUGUAUUGAUUUUUUUUUUAAUGAUUGCUUUAAUCGUUUACAUUGUAUGUCAUAUGAUUGUGAUGUCUAAAAUAUUUCAAUAGAAAUAUGAUAGGUGGGUACGUAUUGUGCAAGUACACUUUAUUGGAAUGUAAUUUUCGUUCGUUAUUUAUUGAGAUAAAAUUCCGAAAUCUCGACAAGAUAAUUCUGAAUGACAACGAACUAAACAAUGAUAUCGACAACUUUAGUUUUACAAUUCAUUUCGAGUUUUCCAACAAAUCUGAAGGAUGAAGGUUAGCGAUUUAACCGAUACAAUACUCCCACGAAGGGACAAAAAUAGUUUGGAAGGUUCUAGUGAUGUCCAUCACUUUGAAGUUUUAUGAUAUAGUUUGAAAACAUAAUUGUCAUAAACACUGUCUCUAAAGAAAAAUGCUUUAUAAGCUGAUUUAUUUUUUAUAAUGUGAAGAAUUACGAAUAAAUAUGAGUAUGAAUGUAGAGUUAAUAUAAUUGAAAGUACUUAUAUAGUUUAAACUCCUUUUUUUUUAAAUCAUAUAAAUAUUUGUAAAUUUAUCCUAAAUGUACAAACAGCCAUCAAACUAAUAAUUUUUUUUUUAAUUUUCUUGAGUCAGGAAGUAAUCGCCAGACAUAGGCGAUAGACAUGCUGGCCAUAUCGGAGUUGUACAGACUACCGUUCAACGAGCCGUGACCCAAAUUCGGAUGAGACAGAACUCAAGGCAGUCGGGGAGCUAAGGCAUUUAACGCGGACCUCAUUUCUACCCGUCUUCUUACCCCACGGGAUAUUAGACCGGCGGUCAUCGACGCCACGACCAUUGGGCUUCUCUUUAAUCUAAAAUAAAAGCUUCACUAACAUGGCUGAAUUAACUAUCUUAACAAUUAUCCAUUAUAUUUAAGCUAUCAGAAAAGGCUAAAACCAAAUCUAAUUUUACACUUCCUAUCAAUAAUUCCAUUUUCACUACCGAUAACACAAUGCACAUCCAUCAACAAUGUCAUUGGAUUAAAAGAGCAAAAUAUGGCACACGAAUACCCAAUGAUUACAGUUUGUGUUUAGUCAAACAACUAUAAUUUGUCGCCAAUUGUUUUGUACACAAAAAAAAACAUUAAUAGAUUUGACGUAAUAAAGAUAUCAUCAAAAUCUUGCUAAAAAUGAUGCCUCAAGCACCGGUCACCGUCGAUCACGAUGAAGAGUGCGACGAGUGAACUAACCCACAAACAUAGUCCACUGAAUUUCUAGCCGGGUCUUCUCAGUCGAUCGCGAUUCCGAUCCAGUGGUAGAUUCUACGAAGCACUAAUCUUGCUGGGACUAGUAUUAGGAAAUUCUCUAAGGUUGAGGGAAUAUAACGGGGAUUUCAUUCCACGCUGCACUUGUUUUUUCUGUUUUAUUCUUCAUAAAUAAAUUGGCAAACAAAUUA